This is an RNA transcript of Prinia subflava (tawny-flanked prinia), 4875 nucleotides long. RefSeq lists it as uncharacterized. Lineage: Eukaryota; Metazoa; Chordata; Aves; Passeriformes; Cisticolidae. The transcript is spliced from 3 exons. The record is from RefSeq and is a predicted model, not a curated record.
GCAGGCAUGGGGGGGAGUUGGGGAAAGUGUGUGGAGGUCACUUACCCAGCUAACCCCCUCCCCAAAAAAAGACAUGAAACUGAAUUUUUUCCUUUUUCCUGUUAGAUGUUCUUUUUCCUUGAUUGCUCAGAAUCUCCUGAGCACCCUAAAGCUUUGAUUUAGCACCCACAGGUGGUGACCCGAGGUGGUGAACCUGGCUGCUGUGCUAAUGGUCAAAAGAGCUGUGGAAACCAUUUCUAGCCUCAAACUGGGUAAAUCCAAACAGUGGGAAGAGUUGAAGUGGUUCAAGUUUAGGGAUGUUCUGUGCAUGGCUCAGGGAGUUCAGCACCUGGAGUUUAGGGCAGAAGAUACCUGGGUCAGCAGGCAGGUUUCUAGUGCAGUGAAAGUUGCACUGAAAUGUUGUGUUUGGCUCUGAUGUUUGCAGCAAGGAGCCCCUUUUGUACCAAAAGCCACAUUCCUCCAUCUUUAUGGAGCUGUUUUAAAUACAGCUGGUGGACUCCCAAACCCAAAUCCUUCAGAAACAGUAUUUAAACCCAAGCUGUGACUUGGAUGGGACUCUGAGCAACCUGUUCUAGUGAGAGGUGUCCGUGCCCAGGGCAGGGGGUUGGUAUGAGAUGAUUUUUAAGGUCCCUUCUAACCCAUUCUGUGACUCUGUGGCGAGGCUGUGUGUGCUGUCGCCUGGCCAGGGGCUUCCCAGAGAUGUUUUUUUUGAUCCUUGUCUUCUGGGACUUACCCUGUUGGGGCUUCACUUUCAUUGUUGCCUUGGUGUUGCUGUUACCUGUUAACCAGCAGAUCUGAUGCUUGCAAAGCAGACUUUCUGAGGCUCCAUGUACCCUGGGUUGUGUUUGGACUUGGAAGAAGAAGGAAAACAUUCCUUUUGUCCUGACUGGUGACAUGACAUCAUGAGAUCGGAGCUCUUCCACUUCCAAAUAGGAAACAGCUGCCAUUGUGCUCAUUCUCCAGGAGCUCCCAGGACUGGCCACCCUCCAGCUUCCUGCAGGAACACCCUUGUGCUUGCAGGGAGCCAGGGGUGAGCCAGCUGCCGUGACCCUGCCCUGUCCCCAGCCCAUGGCGCUGACACAGCCAAACCCCAGGAUGCAGGACAGGAGACUCAGUGUCACCAGGCCAGGGUGAAAACCACAGCUGGCUUGGGCAGCUCAGCAGGGGAAUGGCCACGUCAGGUUUUGAAGGCAGAUGUGCUCUGAGCUGGCCACUAAAAGGUCAUUGUGGCUGCGGUUCUCUGGUGCUGAGCUAAGGAGUUCCACCAGGAGCAAAAGGUUCGGCUUGGAGCUCCUCUAGUUUUCCUGCAUGACUUCUGGUCAUCCCAAAUGAGCUGAGAUCUGCUGGUUAGAAGUCAUAUGGCUGUGCUGUGUCCCAUGGGCCUCUUCAGCAGCAUCGUCCUCUGAGGAGCACAAUCAGCGGGAGCACUCAGCAGGAGCUGAUGGAGAGGAGCAGAGGACGAUUCCUUUCAAGACAAGGUCCUGGAGGGUUCCUGUGGAUGCUGAGGAGCACAGCCUGUCCCUGCCUGUCUGCGGUGAGGGCCUGGCAGGGCAGAGAUGAAUGAGGAGCAGAAGAGAGGAAACAUGGCUCGCUUUGUAGUGUCAGUUCUAUCACCGGGAGGGAUCUGGGAUGUGUAAUUAGCUGAAAAGGAGGCUGUUGUACAUAACACAGGCCUGUUGUCCCCAGCCCAGCAGGCCGGGUGACCCAGCCUUUGGUCUCCUGGCUGGCAAUGUCACCACAGUCCCCUGGCAGCACAGCAGCCUCGCUGGAGACAGAUGCUCUGUUUAUUUCUCCAUUUGUAUUCCCAGCGUGUCCCGGUGCUAACUGUAAGCCUGGCUUAGAAAUUUCCUGCAAGCACCUUAUCAGAUAAUGAAUAAUGAUUUAUUGAACAUAUGGGUAAACAGCACAGAUAAGAUAUAAAUACACUUCGGAAGAGCAGUUGCAUUUGUAAGGAUCUGUACCAAACCCGCCCCGUGGAUUCUGGCACUGCUUCCAGCUGCCAGAAAGCAUCUCCUGCUUGGGCUGCUGUGCAUCCCUGCAGGUCCCAAUCCGUGGGGGAAAAACAAAGGGCAAGGGGCGAGGGCAAAGGCACCUGCCAGGAGAUACUCACAGGGCUGUGGGCAUUAAUUCACUCUGGCUCUAGGAGCCAGGCUGAAGCAUAAGCAGGCUGCAGUACUUGAGGCAAAAUUUGAAUUUUUAUUUGAUUUUAAACAAGGCUGAAGAUCUGUUCACCCACUCGAAACAAAGCAAGGCUGUGGAAGCAGUGUUGCUUACACAGCUAAACCAGGAUGAAGACAAGAGGCACGGCUGCUCUGUGAACAUGGGCUGGGACCCCAGACCUGUGGGAGGGGUGGUGUUGGCUUCUGGAAAAUGGUUCCUGGCACUGAACCCUCCCAGGUGCACAAACCAGCCUGCUGGUGUGCUUGGCCAUGCUCUGCCUCCCUGUCAAUGGAUUCUGCACAGCCUGCAAAGAGCAAAAUCAGCUCUGCAGAUGGGGACCUGAUUUUUGUGCUGUGGCUGCCUCUGGAGGAAGAUGGAAGGCAGGAUCCAGCUGCAAACUCAGGGAUAUGAUAUGAAUGUGGUGAUAAAUGCUGUUUGUGCUGCUCUAGGGUGGAAAGACUCACUUACCUUCCUUUUUGGAGUAAGUAAUUCCCAGCAAACACCAUCUCAGAGGCCAUCCUCAGUGAAAUGAAUGGCUGCCCGUGUGUCCUCGUUGAGUCUCCCACAUUUUUGCUGCUGAGUUUGCUGGUGGAAAGCCCGCUGAAGAUCCAGCACUGCUGUUUUCAGAGCUGUCCAGGGGUUGUGGUAACUGUCCACCCCUGCUCAUCCUCUGUGCAUCAUCUCCUGUGUGGCACCCACUGCCUCAGGUGAUCUCUCCCACCUUCCAGGUGUGUGCAGCUCCUCUCUGCAGCAGAGUGUAGGGGAGCUGUCAGCUUGGCCUCUGGAUUUAUUCUCCCUGCUGCCCUUGAGAGCCACUCCUCCACUCUGUGGCCAGGGGACCUGCCAUCAGCCAGCCAGCGUUAUUUGCAGCCCUUCCAAGGUCGUGGAUAAAUGAUGGCUGUGCUUUUCUCUCUGUUUAAUCAUCAGUCACCAAAGGCAGGAGUGUUCAGAUCCUUUAAAGCAGAGGAAAGUCAAACCUCGCUGGGUGGGCUGGAAGGAUGUGAGGGGUUGUGAAAGACCAGGAUAACCUUGAGAUGUUUGAACUCAGCCUGGCAUAUUGGGGGUUGUGAUGUCCACCUGGACAAGCAGAUAGAGACAAUUCUGGAUUGCUCAAGCUAACAUAGGAUGAUCCUGUGAGAUGCAGAGGAGGGACAGUUCAAGAGGCCUCUGAGAUCAUCUUUUGGGUGUAGGAGGUUGGUGCAAUUGAUGAGUGUGGGCAUACUGUUCGUUUGGGUUUUCCAUCUUUGGUCCUUUCCACCUGCGAGCACAAAGACGUUUUCCUUUUCUAAUGCUCUGCAAUAGUGGUUGGGGCAUUGUUUCCUUGAUGCUUUUGUGGGGACUUGGGGUAUCAUUUCCUUUUUUGAUCUGGAGAUUUUUCAGUGAUUCAACUUUUCUCUCGCUCCCUUCUGGCCGUGCUCAUCUCUCUCUAGCUUUAUCCCAGCAGGCCUGGCUCACCAUCAUGUGACUUCUGGGCUAAAGGGUAAAAGACAAAAGCCCAGGGAUGGGAGCCUGAUGAAGCUUUGUGAUCCAAUCUGCCAGUGAGCACAGCCAUGGUGAGAAUUUGAUUUGCAUACAUUUCCUACCCGGAAUUCCUCUGGAGCUAUUGGGAGUCACCAUAGCUAACACAGGCUCUGAGCUAUGGGGUUUAUGUGCAUGCAGAAACUACUCCCAUUCGCUUUCUUGGAAAGAGAUUUACUGGAGGCUUUUUUGUCUUAUUGUCCACCCCCUUCCUCCUUUCCCUGCCCAUUGGGGGAUUUUGUGCUGCUGUGGAGACUCUUUGAUCUGAAUUAAUUCUUUGACGAAGCUUCACAAGACAAUGGGAAAACAGAGCACUGCUCUGGGGAGAAUCCUUCCUGCUCAAAAAGAAAAAGGUGGGAAUUGUGCUGGCUUGGUGAGUUGGUGCAGCCCAAAGGCCAGGAGUCUCCCUUGCUGCUCCUGGGGCUGUACUGCAGUGGUGGACACCAGGAUGGGGAUUCUGCUCUGAGCUGGGGGGAAAUGUGGGAAGGCUGGAUGCUGGAGGGUUGUUUGGAUCAGCAUGGGGGGAAUCAGGGUGAGUUAUCAUCAAAGAGAGUGUGGGGAGUUGCCUGGUGGAAGGACAUGGGUCCCAUGGGCUUUCUUUGCUCCAGAAGAGGCUUGUGGACAUCCCUGUGGCCUCGGCCGGUUUGCAGUGCAGCCCUUGUUGUGUCUCAGCCAGAGCCAGGGCUGCUCUUGGAGGCAUGUCUGGAAGUCCUUAAUCCCAGCUCUUCUUUCCCAAGGCUUGUUGUCUUUGCCAUACAAAUCAGAGUGGUUGUAGCCAUGGAUUCAGACUACUGCAGCUGAUCCUCACCUUGGAGAAGCACCCGCCGAACGAAGCCAUGAGUGCCAGGGACCGCCCGGAACGCAGGACCAGCUCCCGUGGGAAAGUCCCCGAGCUGCCCCUCGUUGGCCUUGGUGUCCCCUCCUUCCCCUUCCUGGGGCUGCUGCCCUGUUAAUUGAUUGCUGCCCUGCUCAGCCGUUGCUUGUGGAGCUGAAUGUGCCAAGUUACGGCGCGGGAGCGGAGAAAGGGAGCAGCGCUUCCGAGCGCUGGGCUCGCAUCUGAAAGAUUACUGCACAAUCUAAUGAGCUCAUUAAUUUCAUUUCAUUAACCAAACACUGCUUGUGGAGAAUGGCAAAUAUUUAAAGAAGCGCAGCAGGGUCAGAAACACAUUUAAUUAAUGUUGUCACGUGGUGCUGAGA